This 471-nucleotide ribosomal RNA is filed under the name Salmonella enterica. RNAcentral describes it as "bacterial SSU rRNA". It matches the Rfam family "Bacterial small subunit ribosomal RNA", at positions 1 to 468 of the family's 1533-position model. The record is from RNAcentral. Lineage: Bacteria; Pseudomonadati; Pseudomonadota; Gammaproteobacteria; Enterobacterales; Enterobacteriaceae.
AAAUUGAAGAGUUUGAUCAUGGCUCAGAUUGAACGCUGGCGGCAGGCCUAACACAUGCAAGUCGAACGGUAACAGGAAGCAGCUUGCUGCUUCGCUGACGAGUGGCGGACGGGUGAGUAAUGUCUGGGAAACUGCCUGAUGGAGGGGGAUAACUACUGGAAACGGUGGCUAAUACCGCAUAACGUCGCAAGACCAAAGAGGGGGACCUUCGGGCCUCUUGCCAUCAGAUGUGCCCAGAUGGGAUUAGCUUGUUGGUGAGGUAACGGCUCACCAAGGCGACGAUCCCUAGCUGGUCUGAGAGGAUGACCAGCCACACUGGAACUGAGACACGGUCCAGACUCCUACGGGAGGCAGCAGUGGGGAAUAUUGCACAAUGGGCGCAAGCCUGAUGCAGCCAGGCCGCGUGUAUGAAGAAGGCCUUCGGGUUGUAAAGUACUUUCAGCGGGGAGGAAGGUGUUGUGGUUAAUAACC